AAAUAUCAAAAAACACGUGAAAAUAUCACUUCCAUUAUCAGAAAACUAAACUUGCAGUGCUGGAUUUAUAUAUUAUGAGUACGUAGUUUAAUAGUUAUUUCUAAAUUAAGCUGGCCUAGGCAUUACCAAUAACAUUAAGAAAGCUUUACAUGAAAAUGGGAGCCCAAGAAUCAUACUUGACAUAAUAUUAAAUUUCAAUUACUUUUAGAAAACAUUUUUUCCACCAAAUCUUUACUUGAAUUAUUUAGUAUGAGCCUUAAUAAAGCUUUUACUAAAUCUAAUAUCCCUUGUCCCCAAAAAAAAGAAAAAAAAACAGAGAGAAGAAGUUCCUUCUCUUCCUCUCUCUUGAUAUAAAUCCGGCUUGCAGUAAUUAUAUCCAUUUGCUGUAUAAUAGGAAUACAUGUAGGUAGAGCUUUAUGCCAUGAAGGGGCCAUGCAUGCUAGUCUUUUAUGCAACAUUUUCAGGAGCAUUGAAUCAGUGGUGAAAGGAGAACAGGAAUAUAUAUAUAUAUAUGGGGUUCCAUCUAUAGCAACCGGUUGCUGUAGAACAACCUUUUUUUUGGCCUAUGAAAUUUCGACUGAAACAAUAAAAAAAAAAUUAAAAAAAUUCAUAAGCCAAAAAUAGAAUUGCUCUACAGCAUGCCCUAUAUAUAUAUAUAUAUAUAUAUAUAUAUAUAUAUAUAUAUAUAUAUAUAUAGAGCCCGGAUCAGAGGCAUUCCGCUUAAAUGACAUUAUCCCUUAAACGACAUUACCUAUUUAAGCCUCCGUGUUUUUCCAGUUUAACAUUCUCUCUCCUCUGCCCAAAACAAAAUUUGAGCUGCGAUGCUCUAUUUCUCUCCUUCACAAAACCUUCCUAGCAAAAUUCGAAUCAAGCAAGAAGACGGAGACCAAGAAUCGAAGUUUAUGCCCAGAUCUCGACUUCGAUUCCGUAUACCCUUUCUUUGUUUGUGUAAUUUCGGUAAGAAUUGACCCAUCAUUUUAUUCGUAUUGAUCUUCCUUGUUGAUCUUCCUUUCUUUAUUUGUUGUUGUUUUUUUACACAGAUUAGAGAUAUUUAUACAUGUAAUGGGUAUAAAUCGAAGAACAGUUGUAUUCUCAUUAUACAAUAAAAUAAAUGUGUAAAUAUCGAGAGAGAGAGAGAGACGGACAGUUUAUCGGCUUUGAUGAUUACCUUCUCGGGAGCAUAAACCCAUUACAUGUAUAAAUAUCUCUAAUCUGUGUAAAAAAACAACAACAAAUAAAGAAAGGAAGAUCAACAAGGAAGAUCAAUACGAAUAAAAUGAUGGGUCAAUUCUUACCGAAAUUACACAAACAAAGAAAGGGUAUACGGAAUCGAAGUCGAGAUCUGGGCAUAAACUUCGAUUCUUGGUCUCCGUCUUCUUGCUUGAUUCGAAUUUUGCUAGGAAGGUUUUGUGAAGGAGAGAAAUAGAGCAUCGCAGCUCAAAUUUUGUUUUGGGCAGAGGAGAGAGAAUGUUAAACUGGAAAAACACGGAGGCUUAAAUAGGUAAUGUCGUUUAAGGGAUAAUGUCGUUUAAGCGGAAUGCCUCUGAUCCGGGCUCUCUCUCUCUCUCUCUCUCUCUCUCUCUCUCUCUAUAUAUAUAUAUAUAUAUAUAUAUAUAUAUAUAUAUAUAUAUAUAUAUAGCUAGC
This 1644-nucleotide long non-coding RNA is filed under the name Panax ginseng (ginseng). Its description in RNAcentral is "long non-coding RNA (PGIN_LNC008291)". Lineage: Eukaryota; Viridiplantae; Streptophyta; Magnoliopsida; Apiales; Araliaceae. The record is from RNAcentral.